Nomascus leucogenys (northern white-cheeked gibbon) is the source of this 294-nucleotide non-coding RNA. It matches the Rfam family "Metazoan signal recognition particle RNA". Rfam says of the family: The signal recognition particle (SRP) is a universally conserved ribonucleoprotein. It is involved in the co-translational targeting of proteins to membranes. The eukaryotic SRP consists of a 300-nucleotide 7S RNA and six proteins: SRPs 72, 68, 54, 19, 14, and 9. Lineage: Eukaryota; Metazoa; Chordata; Mammalia; Primates; Hylobatidae. The record is from Rfam.
GCUGGGCACAGUUGCACGCACCUGUAGUCCCAGCUGCUCAGGAGGCUGAGGUAGGAGAAUCGCUUGAGUCCAGGAGUUCUGGGCUCAAUGUGCUAUGCCGAUUGGGUAUCUGCACUAAGUUCAGCAUCAAUAUGGUGACUUCCCAGGACUGGGGAACCACCAGGUUGCCUAAGGAGGGGUGAACCAGCCCAGUUCAGAAACAGUUAAAACUCCCAUGCUGUGAUCAGUAGUGAGAUUGCAUCAGUGAACAGCCACUGCAGUCCAGCCUGGCAACAUAGUGAGACCCCAUCUCUA